GACGAACGCUGGCGGCGUGCUUAACACAUGCAAGUCGAACGAAGAGCGAUGGAAGCUUGCUUCUAUCAAUCUUAGUGGCGAACGGGUGAGUAACGCGUAAUCAACCUGCCCUUCAGAGGGGGACAACAGUUGGAAACGACUGCUAAUACCGCAUACGAUCUGACCUCGGCAUCGAGGAUAGAUGAAAGGUGGCCUCCACAUGUAAGCUAUCACUGAAGGAGGGGAUUGCGUCUGAUUAGCUAGUUGGAGGGGUAACGGCCCACCAAGGCGAUGAUCAGUAGCCGGUCUGAGAGGAUGAACGGCCACAUUGGGACUGAGACACGGCCCAGACUCCUACGGGAGGCAGCAGUGGGGAAUCUUCCGCAAUGGACGAAAGUCUGACGGAGCAACGCCGCGUGAGUGAUGACGGCCUUCGGGUUGUAAAGCUCUGUUAAUCGGGACGAAAGGCCUUUUUGCGAAUAGUGAGAAGGAUUGACGGUACCGGAAUAGAAAGCCACGGCUAACUACGUG
This 510-nucleotide ribosomal RNA is filed under the name uncultured bacterium. Its description in RNAcentral is "partial 16S ribosomal RNA". It matches the Rfam family "Bacterial small subunit ribosomal RNA", at positions 28 to 507 of the family's 1533-position model. The record is from RNAcentral.